RNAcentral lists this unclassified non-coding RNA (239 nucleotides) under Hevea brasiliensis (rubber tree). The record is from RNAcentral. Lineage: Eukaryota; Viridiplantae; Streptophyta; Magnoliopsida; Malpighiales; Euphorbiaceae.
UAGCAAUAUGUCCUCCAUCAUCACUGUUUGCGAAGAAUAUUUUCUUCACAUACUUAACCUUAUUGAUAAGGGUAGGUAGUGUCUGAAACAGAGAAUUCGAGGAAAGGUAGCGAGCUAAGUGUGUUGCGGAAGAGAGAGUGAGGCCAAUGCUCUCCAAGAAGGGAAGCAUACCCUUAUCACCUUUUUGUUUUGCCAUCAGGUAGACCUUGCUCUUGAAAGGUGGAAUUGCAGGAACCGGG